Long non-coding RNA from Gasterosteus aculeatus aculeatus (three-spined stickleback), 1271 nucleotides. The record is from Ensembl. NCBI's taxonomy places the organism in Eukaryota, Metazoa, Chordata, Actinopteri, Perciformes, Gasterosteidae.
GUGAGUUCAUCGUUCUUAAAGCACAAUGGAAAGAGUCAGAGAAAGUAAGACGACGAGGAAUAAGACAAGAAGGUGCUCAAAGAGGACCGAAUCUGACAAAUGAGAUCCGCGCAACACUGGUUGACCACGUUGUCAACCACGGCCUGACGACGCUGGACUGCGAGUACAGCCAAAUCUAAGCAGAUAUACGGUGGCAAGUGUGAGAACAUUUCGACUGGAAAAUAGGUAUUGCAGAAAUCAAAAACAUCUGCACGGUUUCAGUAACUGCUUACAGUACUGUAUUCUAUGCACUCUCAGCACUUCUGUUACCUUUUCCUGUGAAAUUACUGUACUAUUGUAUACUGGGAGUUUUUUCUACAUAGGAUUGAGGGUCGGGGACAACAAGGGGGAAGGCCUCCUAUGUUCACAGAACAGCAAGAGAUGGGCAUUCAACUACGCCAUUUUCAACGAUUUCCAUCAGGUCUCAACAUCAACACUGGCACACAUCCUAAAAAAUAAACCUAUUCAAAUGAAGCAAAUUUAUAGAGUGCCUUUCGAGCGCAAUUCCGAAAGGGUGAAACUACUGUGGCAUGAUUAUGCAGAGAGUUUUACGAAUGGAUGGAGAGGAGAUCCAGCAUGAGUUCAUUUACGUAGAUGAGGCUGGGUUCAACCUGACGAGAACACGAAGGAGGGGAAGAAACAUCAUUGGCCACAGGGCUAUAAUCAAUGUCCCAGGGCAACGUGGGGGUAAUAUAACACUGUGCAGCUAUAACACAGAAUAGGGUUCUCCACCGCCAUGCCCAUAUGGGCCCUUACAUUACAUUAUUACAUUACAGGUAACCAUUCUUUGACCAAUUGCACAACAUAACAGCAUCAAAUCGAUCAUAUGCAAUACAUUGUUGUCUGGGACAACGUGUCUUUCCACCGCUCUGCUCUGGUUCAGAACUGGUUUCAGCAACAUCCACAUUUCACUGUACGAUAUCUUCCACCAUACUCUCCAUUCCUCAACCCUACAGAAGAGUUUUUCUCUGCCUGGCGGUGGAAGGAAUGUGAUCUCCGUCUCCAGGCUGAGGUACCCCCUCAUCCAAGCCAUGGAGGAGGCCUGUGACCAGAUGGAGGUAGCAACAAUGCAAGGAUGGAUUCGUCAUUCAAGAAGUUUCUUUCCAAGGUGUCUUGCUAAUGACAACAUUGCCUUCGAUGUUGAUGAAAUUCUCUGGCCAGAUCCAGCUAGGCGAGAAAAGAGAAUUUCUAGUUUUGUUUUGUUUUUUUGAACUUACAAUACGUAAAGUGAC